Molecule: transfer RNA, 71 nt
Filed under: Cordylochernes scorpioides
Lineage: Eukaryota; Metazoa; Arthropoda; Arachnida; Pseudoscorpiones; Chernetidae
Description: tRNA-Gly
Source: RNAcentral
UGCAUCGGCCGGGAAUCGAACCCUGGCCGCCCGCGUGGCAGGCGAGCAUUCUACCACUUAACCACCGAUGC